GUCUACCUGGAUAGCUCAAUUGGUUAGAGCAUGGUGCUGAUAAUGCCAAGGUUGCAGGUUUGGUUCCCAUAUGGGACA
RNAcentral lists this transfer RNA (78 nucleotides) under Podarcis lilfordi (Lilford's wall lizard). RNAcentral describes it as "tRNA.Ile". The stretch from base 5 to 60 matches the Rfam family "tRNA". From Rfam's summary of the family: Transfer RNA (tRNA) molecules are approximately 80 nucleotides in length. Their secondary structure includes four short double-helical elements and three loops (D, anti-codon, and T loops). The record is from RNAcentral. Lineage: Eukaryota; Metazoa; Chordata; Lepidosauria; Squamata; Lacertidae.